Solea senegalensis (Senegalese sole) is the source of this 3326-nucleotide long non-coding RNA. RefSeq lists it as uncharacterized. The record is from RefSeq and is a predicted model, not a curated record. The transcript is spliced from 7 exons. Lineage: Eukaryota; Metazoa; Chordata; Actinopteri; Pleuronectiformes; Soleidae.
GCGGAGCGAGAACACUUCCGGGUAUGAGAACCGUACUCGCUGCUUCGCGUACUUGUGAAUUGGAACCGAACUUGGACUCAGGCUGAUGACGUUUCACAAGUAUGGGAGUACGCAAGUACGGAGGAAGUGCAGCUCUGUUCACAUCGUGUGCUCUACUGCCGCGGUGUGGAUGCUUAUGUAACUGCAGUAAAAUAUUAUUACAAGCCGUAUAUCCCAGAAUGCAUUUCACCGGAACAUAGCAGCAGAGAAAAGAAAUAUCAACCUGAAAUAGACAUUUUUUCUGUGUCCCGGAGCAAAGUUUUAACAUAAUUUGAGGAUCCAGACCCUGAAAUGAGACGACUACUGACUGUUGUAGAUGGACAGAUGGACAAAGCAGUUCUCUGUCCCCAGGAGGUUAGAGACAGAGCAGCGAUACAGGCCUGACGUCUGAGAGGACACAUUGAUCAUGUGGACAGAGCCGGACACGUCACCUGAGACAGAAAGACAGAGAGAGGACAGCGGUCAAGCUUGUUUGUUUGAGUAACAUUGCUGCAAACAUGAACGACGUAUGUAUGUUAGUGAGGAAGUGAGAUUUCCUGUGGAUUCAGUUUGUCCCAGUGGAUCUGUGGAGUGGGGACUCCUUCUGUCACAGAGCAGGACAGUGUGACGCUUCCUCCUGCAUCAACGUCUCCAUCCCACUGACACACGGGCAGUGAGGGCGGAGCUGCACAAAUCAACAACAAGGUCAUGAUGAGUGAAACGACACAGAUUCAAAAACAGGUCAAACUUGAAAACCCGACUCAAUUCCUGCUUAAAUAUAUAAAUAAAUGGCUUUUCCCUGUGUCUGUGUGUGUGUGUGUGUGUGUGUGUGUGUGUGUGUGCGCGUUCAUGUUAGUGUGAGAUUGUUGCAGGUGGAUCCUGGGAGCUGACUGGUCCAGCACAGGAGGUUCUGGUAUAGUGGAAGUGGACUUCCUUGAACCACACAGUCAGACAUUUUGUGCUUGUUUUUAAAGAAACUUUUUUAAAUAGUUUGUUUUACUUGUUGCUGGUUUCUUGGGAAUUGGGAGGAGGGAGUCUCCUCAUUCAUGUUGACAACAUCAGUUGACAAAUAUAGAGUUACUCAUCAGAAACUUAUGUACAAACCAAAGUAAUGCAUGUGCCAAUGACAGCUGCUGUUUCCUUCACCACGCAGCUCCAAUGAACAGUCCCAGCAGAUAUUCACGUAACUUUGGCAACCUUUAACAUUUAAUUUGAAGUUUGUCUGGAAUAACCACGACACAUAUCUGUGACGUUCUCACUCGUCUAAACUGCAGUUUUAGAAAUGUAUUCUUGUAUUUAUAUCUCUGUGAGGUCUAAAAACCUACAAACCUGACAUUUUGUCAGACCUGGUUUUAGGGUUAGUUCAUAUAGUUUUGAUGGUGACAGUUGGGGUUAGGGGUGAGGGAGGUCUAUGUUGACCCUCACUAUUGUUUACAGGAUGAGGAGAAACUCACCGAGAACACUGAGCAGCAGUUCUCCUACACCCGGGUCUGCGGUCUCUGGCGGGUUACUGACCAUGCAGCGGUAAACACCAGCAUCUGACACGCGUGUGUCGUUCAGGACAAUAUCUGCACUCCAGGGAAUACCUGCAGCAUGUCCCAGUGGCUGCGGACCUUGUCACGCCGAGACUGGGACAAGACUGAAGUUCUGGAACUGAACCUGCAACCUCAUGGACUGGAGAACAAAGCCUCCACUCCACCAAUCCCUGAUGUGUUGGGUCUUUUCAUCUCCUUUCAAUCUUCACCUUGGACGUUGAACUUUAAAAGUCUUGUUCUUCAUAAGAAUUUCCCACAAACACAGAAAUCUUCCAGUUGUGAUGUUGAUCCUGUGCAUGAGGUACAAAGUUUGGUUCCAGAAAACUGGGGACAGUCCUUUUUUAAUUUUGGACGCGGUUGUGAAACGGAACCUGUCGGGCAAGAACAACGACCACAAGGACUCCGUAUAAAGUCCUGAGAUUUUUGUAAGACUGUAAGAAUGUUUAACAUUUUGACCUGGAUGAGAAAUUCAGAUUAAGCUCAUCAGGACGAAAGAGCUCAAGAUGAUUUGUAUCUCUGAAGUUAUGAGUUCAAAUCUCACAAUUAAUUGAAUUUCACACAACAAUAUUUUAUACUUCAGACCAAAAACAGAACUAAAAAAUGCGAGGAAAAUGUUGUUUGACAGCUCAGUGAGAAAAGCUAUUGCAGUAAGAAUAAGACUCUGACGUUGUGAGUUCAGUUUAAGAUUCAAUAAAAGGCAGCCCGUGUCCAAGUGGAAAGGGAACUUGACUUGUAACCGCAGGGUCGCCGGUUUAAAUCCCCACCCGACCAGAAAGGGCUGGGGGAUGGGUCAAAUGCAGAGGAAUACUUUCCCUAAGGGGAUUAAUAAAAUUCAAUUCUUCUCUAAGAUCUAAGAAAACCUCAGCACUUGUUGGAGCAGGUGGAUCUGUGGAUACCACUGCUCUGAGGUUCCAGGGUCAUAGGUUCAAUUCUUAUAAAGAACAGGACAUUUUUAAGUUCAUCAUCCAAAGUGAAGAUUGAAAGAAGACAAAAAGUCCUGCAUCUGUCAGGAGUUCAUGGCGUGGUAACGUUGUUCAGUCCACAAGGUCACAGGUUCAAUUCCAUGUUUGUGGUUUUUUUGCGGGAUGUGAAACGUAGUGACAGCAGAGCCUGACGAGGACACCUCCGAGUGUGGCAGAUGAAUAAGUGAAUUGAAGACAUGUUUUUGGUGAAUUCAGGGAUUAAUUUUUCAUCAAUGAAUGAUGAGUACAAACUGUUCUUUGAUGACAUUGACUCCUCCUUCUGAUGCUCUGUCUCUGUGGGAGUAAUUACCAGCGCUGAAAAUAGCCCGGAGGACAAGGACACCGCUUCUCUACUCACAACAUCAUGGGUUCAAAUCCCACUGAAGACCUGUAUUGGACUUUCUGGGCUGGAGAAAGGAGCCAGAGUCCAGAUGAUGUUGAGUCUGGAGAGAGGGCUGGAGGUGAAGAAGGAGCAGGGCAAGAUGACAGUGUGUCCCUGCACAACCUCCACCCUGAUCUGUCUCAUCGUUACUCUGAGAGCAACUGUGUGGAUUUAAGGAAUUAAGAAGAAAACAUGUGAAAGCAGACAUCCGUCUUUAGGCUCUGCAGUUGGGAUUAUUUCAGGGUUCUCAUCGCUUGUGUCCAGGUCUGUGAGAAUGAAAGGUUCACUCACUUGUUGUUGCGUUGCUUUGGAGUCAGUGUGAGUCUGCCGUUCUCGUUGUUGUAUGUCUUUAACGUUUUUACAAGUUAACGUAAAGGUAUUGAGGGGAUUUAAAUAAAAACCAAACCAAGACAAAUGUCAGUGAAAGAG